CUCUAGGUAUAGUCUGGAACUUAUGAGAAAGUAGUUUUAUCAGGUAAAGCGAAUGAUUAGAGGCUUUGGGGAAGAAACUUCCUACGACCUAUUCUCAAAACUUUAAAUAGGUAAGAUUUGGAGGAUACUUAGGUGAUCUUUCAAUACAUUGAAUAUCAAGUUCUUAGUGGGCCAUUUUUGGUAAGCAGAACUGGCGAUGUGGGAUGAACCGAACGUUAAGUUAAAGUGCCAAAUAGUACGCUCAUGAGAUACCAUAAAAGGUGUUGGUUCAUUUUGACAGCAGGACGGUGGCCAUGGAAGUCGGAACCCGCUAAGGAGUGUGUAACAACUCACCUGCCGAAUGAACUAGCCCUGAAAAUGGAUGGCGCUUAAGCGUAUAACUUAUACUUAACCCUUACUUGAAUUAUUAUAACGAGUAAGGAGUAGGAGGGCGUAAAGUUUCUAUUAUAUUGGCUGUUAAGCAUCUAAGCGUAAGCUUAUGUGGAGCAAACUUUAGUGUAGAUCUUGGUGGUAGUAGCAAAUAUUCAAAUGAGAA
Molecule: ribosomal RNA, 535 nt
Filed under: uncultured eukaryote
Lineage: Eukaryota
Description: eukaryotic LSU rRNA
Rfam family: Eukaryotic large subunit ribosomal RNA
Source: RNAcentral